RNAcentral lists this ribosomal RNA (253 nucleotides) under uncultured bacterium. RNAcentral's name for it is "partial 16S ribosomal RNA". It matches the Rfam family "Bacterial small subunit ribosomal RNA", at positions 524 to 776 of the family's 1533-position model. The record is from RNAcentral.
UACGAAGGGUGCUAGCGUUGCUCGGAAUCACUGGGCGUAAAGGGUGCGUAGGCGGGUCUUUAAGUCAGGGGUGAAAUCCUGGAGCUCAACUCCAGAACUGCCUUUGAUACUGAGGAUCUUGAGUUCGGGAGAGGUGAGUGGAACUGCGAGUGUAGAGGUGAAAUUCGUAGAUAUUCGCAAGAACACCAGUGGCGAAGGCGGCUUACUGGUCUGGUUCUGACGCUGAGGCGCGAAAGCGUGGGGAGCAAACAGG